This 2372-nucleotide long non-coding RNA is filed under the name Canis lupus familiaris (dog). RNAcentral's name for it is "lncRNA (ENSCAFG00000059424.1)". Lineage: Eukaryota; Metazoa; Chordata; Mammalia; Carnivora; Canidae. The record is from RNAcentral.
AAUGUCUAUACAAAAAAAAAAAAAAACAACAACAAAUGUCUAUACAAGACAAGAAGGAAAUUUUUAAAAAUCCAAGAAGGAAAUUUUAAAAAACAAGCCCAUUUAUAGUAGCAUCACAAAGAAUAAAGUACUUGGUAAUAAAUUUAACUGAGGAAGUGCAAGGCUUACACAAUGAAAAGUGCAAAGCAUUGCUGAGAUAAAGAUCUAAAUAAAUGGAAAGACAUCCCACGUUCAUGGAUUAGAAGACUUAUUGUUUAGAUGACUUUAGUCUCCAAAGUAGUCUACAGAUUCAGUGCAAUCCCUAUCAAAAAUCCAAUGGCCCUUUUUUUGCAGAAAUGGAAAAGCUAAAAAAAAAAAAAAAAAAGAAAUGGAAAAGCUAAUCCUAAAAUUCAUAUGAGACUGCAAGUGACCCAAAGAGCUAAAAUAAUCUUUAAAAAAACAAAGUUAAAGGACUCCCAUUUCCUGACUUCAAAAUGUAUUACAAAGCUACAGUGAUUAAAAACUGGUAUGAGGAUAAAUACAUAGACCAGUAUUAUGAAAUACAAAGUCCAGAAAUAAACUAUGGUCAAUACACUAUGAGCAACUGAUUUUCAACAAGGGUACCAAGACUGUUCAAUAAAGAAUGGUCUCAAAAAAAAAAAAAAAAAAAAAAAAUAGUCUCUUCACCAAAUGGUGCUGAAACAACAUUAUUCAUGUGGAAAAGAAUGAAAUUGGACACUUAAUUCACAAAUGUGUAAAUUUUAACCCAAAAUAAAUCAAAGAUCUACAUAUAAGAGAUAAAACCAUAAAACUCUGAAGAGAAAAUAUAGGCAUAAAUCUUCAUGACCUUGGAUUUGGCAAUGGUUUCACAUAUUUUAUACUAAAAGCAUAAGGCAACAAAAAAUAGAUAAGUUGGACUUCAUCAAAAUUAAAAGCUUCUAUGCAUCACAGAACACUAUCAAGAAAGUGAAAAGACAAAAAAAAAUGAAAAGACAGCCCACAGAAUGAGAAAACAUUUGCAAAUCAUGUAAGAUUCUAUCCAAAAUAAGUAAAAAAACCCUACACUCAACAACAAACAGCUAAACAACCCAUUUAAAAAUGAGCAAAGUACUUGAAUAGACAUUUCUCCAAUGAAGGUAAGUGGUCAACAAGCACAUGAACAGAUGCUCAACAUAAUUACUCAUUAGGGAAGUGCAAUCAAAACCAUACUUUGAUACCAUUUAAAAUCCACUAGGGUGACUAUAAUUUUUAAAACAGAAAAUAAGUGUUGGAGAGAAUGUGGAGAAAUUGGAACUUUUGUACAUUGCUUGUGGGAUGGUUAAAUGGUAUAGGUAUAGUGGAAAACAAUUUGGUGGAUCCUCAAUAAAUUAAACAUAGAAUUGCCAUGUGACCAAGCAAUUCCACCCUUGGGUAUAUAUAUAUACUCCCACUAAAAUAAGAAACCCUGAAAAUAGAUGUUCAAACAAAAAUUUCCACAAAAAUAUUCAUAGCAACAUUAUUUAUAGUAGCCAAAAGGUAGAAACAACCUAAAUGUCCAUCAGCUGAUGAAUAAACAAAUUGUGGUGCAUAACAUAAUAUUUUUCAGCCAUAAAAAGAAGUACAGAUACAUACGACAACACUGAACCUUGAAAACAUUAUGCUAAGUAAAAUAAGCCAGACAUGAAAGACCACUUAUUGUAUCUUCCAUUUAUAUGAAAUAUACAAGAUAGGCAAAUUUGUGGAACCAGGCAAAAUGUGAAAGGAAGAGGGAGUGGGGGAUGACUGCUUAAUGAGUAAGGAGUUUCCUUUCAGGGUGAUAAAAAUGUUCUGGAACUAGAGAUGAUUACACAACAUGGGAAGGUACUGACUGCCACUUAUGACAAAUUUUAUGUAUAUUUUACAACAAUAAAAACCUUAAUAGGUACAUUUAAAAUUGUUAUUUCAAUGCAUAACAAUGGGCAUUCUCUCUGUAUUACUAGGAUUGAAACUCUGCAUUUAUAUUCAUCCCAAAAGAGAUUUUUUCUAAAUGUAAUCUACAAGUAAAUGGAUUUUUUUAAAGUCUGAGAGAAAAUCUCUUUAGAUUGUAAUUCUAGUCUAAGAGUGAGAAAUGAUGACAAAGAGGAAAUUUUGAUUGGAAGCUCUUUAGCAAUGCCUGGUAUACAACAGGCAUUCCAUUAAUGUUAAAAGUACAAGUAAGUAUCUUUUCAUAAACUCUGUAUAAUGCUUGAAAUUGUGGGCAGCCCCGGUGGUACAGCAGUUUAGUGCCACCUGCAGCCCGGGGUGUGAUCCUGGAGACUAGGGAUCGAGUCCCAAGUUGGGCUCCCUGCAUGGAGCCUGCUUCUCCCUCUGCCUGUGUCUCUGCCUCUCUCUGUGUGUCUCUAUGAAUAAAUAAAAUAAUAAAUCUUUAAAAAAAA